UCUUCACUAGUAUAUCGGUUAGUAUAUUCGCCUCUCAGUCGAGAGCGGCCGGACACGUCUUCCUGAAGACAUCGGCCUGACCGCGAAAGAGCAGGGUUCAACUCCCUGGUGGAGAA
Cutaneotrichosporon oleaginosum is the source of this 116-nucleotide non-coding RNA. The record is from the annotation of a RefSeq genome assembly. Lineage: Eukaryota; Fungi; Basidiomycota; Tremellomycetes; Trichosporonales; Trichosporonaceae.